GCAAGUCGAGCGGGCGUAGCAAUACGUCAGCGGCAGACGGGUGAGUAACGCGUGGGAACGUACCUUUUGGUUCGGAACAACACAGGGAAACUUGUGCUAAUACCGGAUAAGCCCUUACGGGGAAAGAUUUAUCGCCGAAAGAUCGGCCCGCGUCUGAUUAGCUAGUUGGUGAGGUAAUGGCUCACCAAGGCGACGAUCAGUAGCUGGUCUGAGAGGAUGAUCAGCCACAUUGGGACUGAGACACGGCCCAAACUCCUACGGGAGGCAGCAGUGGGGAAUAUUGGACAAUGGGGGCAACCCUGAUCCAGCCAUGCCGCGUGAGUGAUGAAGGCCCUAGGGUUGUAAAGCUCUUUUGUGCGGGAAGAUAAUGACGGUACCGCAAGAAUAAGCCCCGGCUAACUUCGUGCCAGCAGCCGCGGUAAUACGAAGGGGGCUAGCGUUGCUCGGAAUCACUGGGCGUAAAGGGUGCGUAGGCGGGUCUUUAAGUCAGGGGUGAAAUCCUGGAGCUCAACUCCAGAACUGCCUUUGAUACUGAAGAUCUUGAGUUCGGGAGAGGUGAGUGGAACUGCGAGUGUAGAGGUGAAAUUCGUAGAUAUUCGCAAGAACACCAGUGGCGAAGGCGGCUCACUGG
This 631-nucleotide ribosomal RNA is filed under the name Bradyrhizobium japonicum. Its description in RNAcentral is "bacterial SSU rRNA". It matches the Rfam family "Bacterial small subunit ribosomal RNA", at positions 57 to 732 of the family's 1533-position model. The record is from RNAcentral. Lineage: Bacteria; Pseudomonadati; Pseudomonadota; Alphaproteobacteria; Hyphomicrobiales; Nitrobacteraceae.